Molecule: long non-coding RNA, 281 nt
Filed under: Pan troglodytes (chimpanzee)
Lineage: Eukaryota; Metazoa; Chordata; Mammalia; Primates; Hominidae
Description: long non-coding RNA NONPTRT008384
Source: RNAcentral
CAGACAGAAGGGGAGGGGAGGAGACACUGGAGACAGAGAGAAAGGGAGGGGAGGAGACACUGGAGGCAGACAGAAGGGGAGGGGAGGAGACACUGGAGGCAGAGAAAAGGGGAGGUGAGGAAUCAUUGGAGACAGAGAAGACCCAAGGGACGGAGGGAGAUCUGAAUCUAGAACAAGGAUCCAGGGAAGGAAGUGAAUCCCAGGCAGAGGAGAUGAAUGAGGCAGGACCUCCCCUUGAGGCUAACACGGAGACAAGGCCAGAGAAGGAAGGACCCCAGCCC